This 441-nucleotide ribosomal RNA is filed under the name uncultured bacterium. RNAcentral's name for it is "bacterial SSU rRNA". It matches the Rfam family "Bacterial small subunit ribosomal RNA", at positions 958 to 1398 of the family's 1533-position model. The record is from RNAcentral.
AACGCGAAGAACCUUACCAAGGCUUGACAUAAACCGGAAACACUUGGAAACAAGUGCCCCACUUGUGGUCGGUUUACAGGUGGUGCAUGGUUGUCGUCAGCUCGUGUCGUGAGAUGUUGGGUUAAGUCCCGCAACGAGCGCAACCCUCGUUCUAUGUUGCCAGCACGUGAUGGUGGGGACUCAUAGGAGACUGCCGGGGUCAACUCGGAGGAAGGUGGGGACGACGUCAAAUCAUCAUGCCCCUUAUGUCUUGGGCUUCACGCAUGCUACAAUGGCCGGUACAAUGGGUUGCGAUACUGUGAGGUGGAGCUAAUCCCAAAAAGCCGGUCUCAGUUCGGAUUGGGGUCUGCAACUCGACCCCAUGAAGUCGGAGUCGCUAGUAAUCGCAGAUCAGCAACGCUGCGGUGAAUACGUUCCCGGGCCUUGUACACACCGCGCAUA